CUUGUUGCUGCUGUCUUGACCUGCCAAGAUACCUUUUUUUUAAUUUAAAGUGUCUGCUUAAAUAUCUAUUGUAUCAAAUAACUAGGUAUCCCUCCAUGGAAAUGCUCACAAUCCAGCAGAGCUAGUGAUAUAAAUCACAGGGCAUCAUGUAACGGAAAGGUUUUAGUCUGGGAAAGGAGGCUUUGGCUCUGUUCCACUUUGCCCUCUUUGAUGACAAUUCUGCAGAGAAAAGGCAGAAGAAGAGAUUCUUAGGAUAUGGAGCUUGCCCUGUAGAGUCUGCUAAAGAAUAGUAACUGUGAAGCAAGUUCUCUUCACUGUGGACAGAAAGGGAAGCGGAUAAGAUAAACAGAGUAGAAAGCUGUCAAGACAAGCCUGGACAUACAACCAUGCAUAGUUUUCUGCUACAAGAGGAUCCACAGGAGGGUGU
This 427-nucleotide long non-coding RNA is filed under the name Numida meleagris (helmeted guineafowl). RNAcentral's name for it is "lncRNA (ENSNMEG00000020459.1)". Lineage: Eukaryota; Metazoa; Chordata; Aves; Galliformes; Numididae. The record is from RNAcentral.